RNAcentral lists this ribosomal RNA (491 nucleotides) under uncultured bacterium. Its description in RNAcentral is "partial 16S ribosomal RNA". It matches the Rfam family "Bacterial small subunit ribosomal RNA", at positions 29 to 507 of the family's 1533-position model. The record is from RNAcentral.
AGUGAACGCUGGCGGUAGGCCUAACACAUGCAAGUCGAACGGCAGCACAGUAAGAGCUUGCUCUUACGGGUGGCGAGUGGCGGACGGGUGAGGAAUACAUCGGAAUCUACUUUUCGUGGGGGAUAACGUAGGGAAACUUACGCUAAUACCGCAUACGACCUACGGGUGAAAGCAGGGGAUCUUCGGACCUUGCGCGAUUGAAUGAGCCGAUGUCGGAUUAGCUAGUUGGCGGGGUAAAGGCCCACCAAGGCGACGAUCCGUAGCUGGUCUGAGAGGAUGAUCAGCCACACUGGAACUGAGACACGGUCCAGACUCCUACGGGAGGCAGCAGUGGGGAAUAUUGGACAAAGGGCGCAAGCCUGAUCCAGCCAUACCGCGUGGGUGAAGAAGGCCUUCGGGUUGUAAAGCCCUUUUGUUGGGAAAGAAAAGCAGCAGGUUAAUACCCCGCUGUUCUGACGGUACCCAAAGAAUAAGCACCGGCUAACUUCGUG